Manis javanica (Malayan pangolin) is the source of this 3640-nucleotide non-coding RNA. Lineage: Eukaryota; Metazoa; Chordata; Mammalia; Pholidota; Manidae. The record is from RefSeq and is a predicted model, not a curated record.
AGGUUUGCACAGACUCCCUGAGGUCAGCCACGCAGAGAAAAAUAAGAGCAACAAUGGAGAAGUAUUAAGAAGAUCAUUAAUGCCAUUAUUCUGAAUAGCAAGUUGGAAGAGAGAUGUCCAGAAGCCACAUAAAAGUCCUGGGCCUCCAUUUGUCUUCACUGUAUAAAGAAAAUCAGUCUUUACCUGUUUGAAAUACCUACUCAAAUAUUUAUGGAUGGAAUGAUGUGACAUCAGGAAUUUGCUGUAAAAAUCACCAACAAAGCUAAGUAAAGGUGGGAUAAAACAAGAAUGGCAGAAUGUUAACUGUUGGAGCCAGUGACAGGUACAUGGGGAUUCACUGCAGUAUGUUUCCUACUUCUGUGUAUGUUUGAAAAAUUUAAAGUUAAAAAUAAAUACACUGAUCACCUGUAGUUAGUUUCUCACACAUAUACUCUUUUUUUUUUCUUUUCAGUUUUUUCCUUUUCUCUUUUUUUCACUUGCAAAAGCAGUAGGUUCUUGUAAAAAUGUAAAACAAUACAGAGAGCUGUAACUCCACUCUCCAUUAAUACUAGUGAAGACUUGUGUGUUUCUUAUAACCACCUCCCUAUGCAGGAGCCUGCCUCCAUUUCCCCCACUCAGGCCAGCUGCUCGCCUAAUUCAGCGAACUGGUGUCCUGGACCAAGUGCGGAGCAGGGAGCUAUUGUCGCAGAGAUGAAGGGCCCGGGAGAGGGGGUAAUUGGGUGCAUCUUGCCAUGCGGUGCCCACACUGGCCUUUUCCAGGGGCUGCCUCAAGGCAUUGGCCAACUUGGGGGAAGGUAGAUGCAUAAACAGUCACAUCAUAUUGAGUAUAAGAAGUCAGAGAGAGAUGCAUAAAAAACCUUUGGUGACACAGAGAAGAAAGCACUCAGGGUGGUUUCCCCAGGAGAUGAUAUUUGAACUGGAUCUUGGAGAAAGAGUAGAAUUCACCAGGCAGAGCUGGUGGAAGACUUUCUAAGUGCAGGAGAAAGCUCUAAAAUUCCCAAGGGCAAGCUAUGUUCCAGGAAUUGGGAACUCUGAGCAGAGAGGGGAUAUGCAAUGGGGGUGAUGGGAGAGCAGGUUAGAGGGUAGCUGGUGGGCCAGAAUGAAGGGUCUGCUGACACCACAGUGAGGGGGUUGGUCCUUGUCCUCCAGACGGUGACACUGCAGAGCCAGGGAAAAGAGCCAGGCCAGACUGCACUUGGGAAGAACACUUGGGGGAAGAGUAUUUGGAUGAUGCCACUGGAGAUGGACAACAGAGACUAAGUUCUGAAGAGUUCAGAAGCAGAUUGAACAGGAAUUGGCAACUAACUGGACAUGAGGAAGACCACUACUCAGUCCACUACAACACCAAACAAAGGGAAAGGGAGAAGAUGAGGAAGCCACACGGAGCAUGCAUUCAAACCUGCAAGAAUUCAUGGGACAAUGUAGGGACUGGAGUUACUCAGCCAAAUCAUAGCAGUAAGGGCCAUGGGAUUCUGAAUGGGCCUACGGUGUGGCAGUAGUAGGGCAGGGGAAGAAGGGGCCCUAGCUUGCGACCUGCCUUCCACGGGCGCCCAGAGGAGGCCCCAGGUGGCUGGAAUGGCAGGUCCCAGGGAGAGAGCCAGGUCGUCAGUGCUCUCCCCAUGUACCCACCCGCUUCUGCCCACCCCUCUCAGUUACCCCUGCUGGCAGCCAAUGGAUAACUCAGCUUUUUACAUUCCUGGGGAUGUGAGCAAGGCAGCCUAUGCUGAGCUGGAAGCUCUCCCAGCAGCCUGUCAGUCCAAGACUUUGCCCUCCUGCCUUUUGGAGGUCAGCCAACUCUGGAGGUCCACAACUGGUUUGUGAGCACAGGAUCCAGAACUUCACUUUCUUCUGCUAUUACUGCUGAUAAUUACAGAAGGAAAAGCCCUCCAGAACUUAGUUCACACAAUCUGAUACAAGGAUCAGAAGAAGGCACACCAAGUACGAAAAUUCUAAAAGUUCCUUUCUCCAAGGAAGAAAAUAUUGAAUGCAUCAUCAUUCCCAACUUUGCAAGGAGCAGUUCCUUAAGAUAUUAAUGUCUCCUCUCUCCAAGACAUCCAUGCCAAUCACGGACAUAAACCGAAACGAUGUAUCAGCGACAGCCACCACGACAACUUCAGAGGCCUGAGCUCGGAGGCCUCUAGUCAAGGCCACACCUAUGGUACGUGUCCAUUUUUCAAGCCUGGAGUCCAUUAACCGUUGAAAGUCAAACUUCUCCCCACAGUGCUAGGAAGAGAAAAUAUCUGGCAAGUGUGGCCUGCAAAAGUUCUGUGGAUGAGUAGAGGGGCUGAACUUGAGCAGGUAACUGUUGAGUGUGCACCUUUGUACCUUGUGUUGAUCACUCUGCUGGAUGUGAAGAUGGAGCCAUGGAUGGCAAUCCAACAAGGCCCUGCUUUCGCAGAGUGAGGAGAUGCGAAAUUAUCACAAAUAAUUGUAAUUCUAUUUUAUAUACAGAGCAAGAGUGUGGGCUGUCAGGGAGGCACUUUGCACCACUAACAGAUGAUUCAAAUGGAAACACAGGACAUAAGUACUUCACCCCCAGUGAUAAGGAAAUCUCCAGUGGGUCUCCUCUGAAGGAUUCAUCCUCCCUCACCCACCUGCCCUCACAGUGGGUGGAGAUCCAUGCCACUGCAGGAACUACAAAUAUUUUAAACAAAUCUCCAGAAAGGUUUUGGGGCUGUGUGCCCAGUGAGGCCAGAGGGGCUCCCAGAACCUACCCAGAUCCCAGAGGGAUACUGCAGGGUAGACGAAAGAUGCUCCUGCAAAGACAAACACAGAAGAAGCAGGUUCCCAGGGCUGAGAUCAGAAAGUAAGACUCUAAUCACCUCAUACUGGUUAGAAUGGCUAUUACCAAAAAAGCAAAAGAAUAAAUGUCUUCAAGGACGUGGAGAAACGGAAGUCCUGUAUGUUGUUGGCGGGAAUGUAAAAUGAUAUAGCUGCUAUGGAAAACAGUAAGGUGGUUUCUCAGAAAGAAAUCAGCAUCUCAAAGGUUCACUGCCAACAGCCAAAAUGUGGAAACAAACUAAAUGUCCCUCAGUGGAUGACUAGAUAAAGAAAAUGUGAUAUAAACAUAUGGUGGAAUGUUUUUCAGCCUUAAUAAAAUAAGGAAAUUCUUCUCAGAGCUGAGUAGUUGUGACAGAGAUGAUAUACCCUACAAGGCUACAAUUCCUGACCCCCCCUUGCACAGGUAUGUCAGCACAAGUACAGUCAUCUUGGUAUUCUCCACAUUUCUGUUCUUGAUAGUCUCCUACUGGAAAACUUGAAACGUUCCUCUACUGCCUAAUAGUCUCACUCCACAGACUGGGCUUAGCCUUAUUUGUCCCAAUUCUAAUUCACAUGUUCCAAGGCAAAAAGGCAGUAACCAGGCACAUGUGACUAUUUAAAUGUAAAUCUAAAGUAAUAACAUCUGGCCCUUUUUAAAAAGAACUCUACCAGUCCUUGCUUUAGAUUCCUCAGUCCCCUUCUCACCACACCAGAGUGUCUCAAACACCUUACAUGGACUACUUUGGAAAAGGGCCAAAACCCCAAUAGCAAGCCCAUAUGCUAAGAACACCAAAGUGCACUUAUAAGCACCUAUGUGAGCCAGACUCUGUUUUGGAAAUUUCAUUACAUUUAGCCCUCACAUCAACUUUGUGAGAUAGCA